Ribosomal RNA from Otolemur garnettii (small-eared galago), 114 nucleotides. The record is from Ensembl. NCBI's taxonomy places the organism in Eukaryota, Metazoa, Chordata, Mammalia, Primates, Galagidae.
AUCAAUGGCCAUACCCCUCUGAAAGUACCUGAUCUUGUCUGAUCUUGGAAGCUAAGCUAGGCCUGACUACUAUGGGGAUAGGAGACUGCCCAGGAAUACCAGGUCCCGUAGGCU